GACAGAGGGUGCAAACGUUGUUCGGAAUUACUGGGCGUAAAGCGCAUGUAGGCGGCCAAGCAGGUCGGAUGUGAAAUCCCUCGGCUCAACCAAGGAAGUGCAUUCGAAACCGCAUGGCUCGAGUCCCGGAGAGGAAGGUGGAAUUCUCGGUGUAGAGGUGAAAUUCGUAGAUAUCGAGAGGAACACCGGUGGCGAAAGCGGCCUUCUGGACGAGGACUGACGCUGAGACACGAAAGCGUGGGGAGCAAACAGG
Molecule: ribosomal RNA, 253 nt
Filed under: uncultured bacterium
Lineage: Bacteria
Description: partial 16S ribosomal RNA
Rfam family: Bacterial small subunit ribosomal RNA
Source: RNAcentral